GAUGAACGCUGGCGGCGUGCCUAAUACAUGCAAGUCGAGCGAACGGACGAGAAGCUUGCUUCUCUGAUGUUAGCGGCGGACGGGUGAGUAACACGUGGAUAACCUACCUACAAGACUGGGAUAACUUCGGGAAACCGGAGCUAAUACCGGAUGAUAUUUUGAACCGCAUGGUUCAAAAGUGAAAGACGGUCUUGCUGUCACUUAUAGAUGGAUCCGCGCUGCAUUAGCUAGUUGGUAAGGUAACGGCUUACCAAGGCAACGAUGCAUAGCCGACCUGAGAGGGUGAUCGGCCACACUGGAACUGAGACACGGUCCAGACUCCUACGGGAGGCAGCAGUAGGGAAUCUUCCGCAAUGGGCGAAAGCCUGACGGAGCAACGCCGCGUGAGUGAUGAAGGUCUUCGGAUCGUAAAACUCUGUUAUUAGGGAAGAACAUAUGUGUAAGUAACUGUGCACAUCUUGACGGUACCUAAUCAGAAAGCCACGGCUAACUACGUG
Molecule: ribosomal RNA, 497 nt
Filed under: uncultured bacterium
Lineage: Bacteria
Description: partial 16S ribosomal RNA
Rfam family: Bacterial small subunit ribosomal RNA
Source: RNAcentral